ACCAUCACUGAGUUCUGUUUGUUCAUGAUUUGAUAUUUCUCAGAGGCUUAGUGCUUAUUUCUGUUCCCAUUUUUCUUUCUUUAUGAGAAAUUGGUGAUAGAGUAGAAGUUGAUGAGGCAAUCGCUCAAGUUGAAACAGAUAAGGUGACAAUUGAUGUUUACCAGUCCUGAAGCUGGUGUAAUCCAAAAGUUCGUAGCCAAGGAGAAGGAUAUACUAUGGAGCCAGGCACCAAGGUUGGUGUCAUUACAAAAUCUGUUGAAGGUGUGGAUGAUGUUGCUCCACCUGAGCAAGCUGCUCCACAUCUAUCACCUCCUGUUGAUGAACAGAAAGAGAAACCAAAGCCUAAAGUUAAAGCUUCCCCUGUCGAAGAAAGGCCAAAGGAAAUUUCCACUAAGCCCCCUAAACACAGUGCUACAGAACCUCAGCUUCCCCCUAAAGAAAGAGAAAGAAGAGUGAGUCUUGCAGAUUUUUUUUUACCCCCAAAUAUUCCAAUUCUAUGGAUGGCAAGUUCCAAUGACCAGGUUUAGAAAAAGAGUUGCCGCACGUUUGAAAGACUCACAAAACACAUUUGCAUUGUUGACUACUUUCAAUGAAGUUGGACAAAUUUGACUUGACCGAUCUGCUUAUUUGCAGGACAAAUUUGAUGAAACUCUAUUUUGAUUACACAUUUACACGGAUGCCUUGGUAAAAAAGCAUGGAGUGAAGCUAGACAUAGUGAAGCGAGGUGUAAUGUCUGGGGUUGUUAAAGCACAUACACCCAUUAUCAAUUCCCCUCAGGUGUG
Long non-coding RNA from Ipomoea triloba (trilobed morning glory), 782 nucleotides. RefSeq lists it as uncharacterized. The transcript is spliced from 4 exons. Lineage: Eukaryota; Viridiplantae; Streptophyta; Magnoliopsida; Solanales; Convolvulaceae. The record is from RefSeq and is a predicted model, not a curated record.